This 862-nucleotide ribosomal RNA is filed under the name Pyrenophora teres. RNAcentral describes it as "partial large subunit ribosomal RNA". It matches the Rfam family "Eukaryotic large subunit ribosomal RNA", at positions 64 to 940 of the family's 3401-position model. Lineage: Eukaryota; Fungi; Ascomycota; Dothideomycetes; Pleosporales; Pleosporaceae. The record is from RNAcentral.
ACCAACAGGGAUUGCCCUAGUAACGGCGAGUGAAGCGGCAACAGCUCAAAUUUGAAAUCUGGCUCUUUUAGAGUCCGAGUUGUAAUUUGCAGAGGGCGCUUUGGCUUUGGCAGCGGUCCAAGUUCCUUGGAACAGGACGUCACAGAGGGUGAGAAUCCCGUACGUGGUCGCUAGCUAUUGCCGUGUAAAGCCCCUUCGACGAGUCGAGUUGUUUGGGAAUGCAGCUCUAAAUGGGAGGUAAAUUUCUUCUAAAGCUAAAUACUGGCCAGAGACCGAUAGCGCACAAGUAGAGUGAUCGAAAGAUGAAAAGCACUUUGGAAAGAGAGUCAAACAGCACGUGAAAUUGUUGAAAGGGAAGCGCUUGCAGCCAGACUUGCUUGCAGUUGCUCAUCCGGGCUCUUUUGCCCGGUGCAUUCUUCUGCAGGCAGGCCAGCAUCAGUUUGGGCGGUGGGAUAAAGGUCUCUGUCACGUACCUCUCUUCGGGGAGGCCUUAUAGGGGAGACGACAUACCACCAGCCUGGACUGAGGUCCGCGCAUUUAUGCUAGGAUGCUGGCGUAAUGGCUGUAAGCGGCCCGUCUUGAAACACGGACCAAGGAGUCUAACAUCUAUGCGAGUGUUUGGGUGUCAAGCCCGAACGCGUAAUGAAAGUGAACGGAGGUGGGAACCCGCAAGGGUGCACCAUCGACCGAUCCUGAUGUCUUCGGAAGGAUUUGAGUAAGAGCAUGGCUGUUGGGACCCGAAAGAUGGUGAACUAUGCUUGAAUAGGGUGAAGCCAGAGGAAACUCUGGUGGAGGCUCGCAGCGGUUCUGACGUGCAAAUCGAUCGUCAAAUUUGGGCAUAGGGGCGAAAGACUAAUCGAAC